CUGGAUGAAUGGACUAUAAGGUGGCUAGAAAGCUGGCUAGAUCAUCGGCCUUAACAGGCAAACCAAGCCGCUGCUCUGAAACAAAAGCCUUUUGCCUGUGGUUGGGCAUAUUCCACUGCCUCUUCCAAAUAGCACCUCCACAGCCCCUAACUCGGCUCUCUUCAGCUGUCAGCAGAUGGAAAGCAAGCAGGGUGUGGAAACACGGAGUGGUAAGUUAUUGUGCGAGCCUGGCUGCGUUGCUGGAGGAUGAGGAGCAGAUAAAGUUCAGAGCUAUUUACAGGCACCUCUGCAGCUCCCUCUCCUCUCUGUCAUUUGAGAACAUUACUGGGGUAACUCCAGCAGGGGCCACAGUAGGAAAGCUGUGAAUUUGCUGCUGGGUGGAAGUAGGACAGGCAGAUUGAUGAUCCCUGGAGAACAGGGGCAGGUGUGCUGUGGACCAAGAGAGAUGCACCAAGGGGGCACAGGGUGAAUCCUCUUGGAGAGCUCUGGAAGCCGCUUCAAGGACAAGCACUGUCGCAGCUCCUGUCUUCCUGUGGCAGGUGUGAGCCCCGGGGCUCUCCCCUGCCUGCUCUGUUUGGGGGCCAGGAAGGCACUAGAAAUGGAAGGAAAGAGGGCUAUUUUCUCAAAGAAAAGCAAAGGGAGCAGGAUGAGUGGCACUUAAACCAUCUUUUCCUCUUGCUGUAAUGGGCUGCCCCCUCCCAGUUAAACAGAAGCAGUGAAUCCUCGGCCUUUAACAGCUUCCACCACUUUUAGAUCCUUUCCAGUCACAAGCAUAAACAUUUAUCCCCCCCUCACACUAAAGCUUGGGUGCCUGGCCCUCGCUCAUACAAAAGCUACUUUCAGACCCAAACAGGCCCCGGUUUCCUUGAACUGGGCUAGCAGGGAAUGUGGUGGUCUCAGGUACAUGCAUUACUCCAAUCUCUUUCCAACUGGGCAACUGCUAUAGAGAACAGGGGAGGCAACAAUGGUGCGAGUCUUCACUUACCGCUUCUGUUUGGGUCAAGGAUACCCGGGUAAGUGCUCUGCAGGAGAUCCGUCUAAGGAAGACACUGGGCCUGAAAUUCAUGACAACAGCCUGGCUUGGAGGGGUCGGAUUUGCUCUUGGAGGAGGGGAAGCAUUCUAUUUAGAUUGAGCGUUUCGGGGCCUGCGUUCAACAACAACCGUGCUGCAGUCUGGGGGUGAAGGAUGGAUAUAGAACCCCACACAAGUACUGUGGUGCAGAUCAGUACAAAUAAGGAGAAAUGGUGAGGUGAAAGGUUAGUGGGGGACAGACUGCUUCACAAGUUGAGAGAGGUUUGAGCUUUUUUAAAAGAAAAAAUGCUGUGGCGUAUCAUGUUACUUCAAACUUUUCCUUGGAUAGGACCAUUGCCAGAGACGCUGUGUUUCACCCAAAUACAGUAUCUUUAGACGAAGGAGUGAAAAGCUUUCCUUGGGUCAAAGUCAAAUAAAUCCUUCGCAUGAGGUCAGUUUGGGGCUCCUGUCAGCCAACCAAAGCAGAGCACAGCUUAGUGCUUUCCCAAGUAAGCUCUCUCUCCCUGAUGGGACCAGACAACACCCUUCAUCCUAAAGUACAUUUAUAGCCACACCCAAGGUUAUGGCAUUGCACUUUGGCUGCACUGUCACACUGAAGGCAGCCUCAAUUCUAGUCACUCUUUUGGGACCAACUGGAGAUUGGACAGUGAGUCCGAGGCUGAACAACUGUCAAAUGAGCACAGAUUAACAGGACCCCCUCCCCAAAUCAUAAAACCCAUCGCUGUUAAGGUGACAUGUGAAAGCUGGCAGAUGUGAG
Molecule: long non-coding RNA, 1790 nt
Organism: Trachemys scripta elegans
Lineage: Eukaryota; Metazoa; Chordata; Testudines; Emydidae
Exons: 2
Source: RefSeq, a predicted model, not a curated record